This 460-nucleotide ribosomal RNA is filed under the name uncultured bacterium. Its description in RNAcentral is "partial 16S ribosomal RNA". It matches the Rfam family "Bacterial small subunit ribosomal RNA", at positions 338 to 795 of the family's 1533-position model. The record is from RNAcentral.
CCUACGUGAGGCAGCAGUGAGGAAUAUUGGUCAAUGGACGGAAGUCUGAACCAGCCAUGCCGCGUGCAGGAAGACGGCUCUAUGAGUUGUAAACUGCUUUUGUACAAGGGUAAACCUGAAUACGUGUAUUCAGCUGAAAGUACUGUACGAAUAAGGAUCGGCUAACUCCGUGCCAGCAGCCGCGGUAAUACGGAGGAUCCAAGCGUUAUCCGGAUUUAGUGGGUUUAAAGGGUGCGUAGGCGGAUUGAUAAGUUAGAGGUGAACUGUCCGGGCUUAACUCGGGAACUGCCUCUAAUACUGUUGAUCUAGAGAGUAGAUGCGGUAGGCGGAAUGUAUGGUGUAGCGGUGAAAUGCUUAGAGAUCAUACAGAACACCGAUUGCGAAGGCAGCUUACCAAUCUAUAUCUGACGUUGAGGCACGAAAGCGUGGGGAGCAAACAGGAUUAGAUACCCGGGUAGUC